GUGCUUACUUUAGCAGCAUAUACACGAAAAUUGGAAUAAUACAGAGAUUAGCAUGGCCCCUGUGCAAAGAUGACAGUUGUUUUUGUUUUUCUUUU
Molecule: small nuclear RNA, 95 nt
Organism: Callithrix jacchus (white-tufted-ear marmoset)
Lineage: Eukaryota; Metazoa; Chordata; Mammalia; Primates; Cebidae
Source: Ensembl